UGCCAGCCGCCGCGGUAAUACGGAGAGUGCAAGCGUUGUUCGGAAUCACUGGGCGUAAAGCGAGUGUAGGCGGUCCCGCAUGUCGGGUGUGAAAGCCCACGGCUCAACCGUGGUGGGUCACCCGAAACUGCGGGACUUGAGUUCGGGAGAGGGAAGCGGAAUUCCCGGUGUAGAAGUGAAAUUCGUAGAUAUCGGGAGGAACACCAGUGGCGAAGGCGGCUUCCUGGAUCGAUACUGACGCUGAGACUCGAAAGCGUGGGGAGCAAACAGGAUUAGAUACCCUGGUAGUCCACGCUGUCAACGGUGGGCACUAGGUGCAGUGGGUGUCUGACCCCCGCUGUGCCGAAGCUAACGCAUUAAGUGCCCCGCCUGGGGAGUACGGCCGCAAGGUUGAAACUCAAAUGAAUUGACGG
RNAcentral lists this ribosomal RNA (413 nucleotides) under uncultured bacterium. Its description in RNAcentral is "bacterial SSU rRNA". It matches the Rfam family "Bacterial small subunit ribosomal RNA", at positions 506 to 916 of the family's 1533-position model. The record is from RNAcentral.